Molecule: transfer RNA, 87 nt
Filed under: Dermonema virens
Lineage: Eukaryota; Rhodophyta; Florideophyceae; Nemaliales; Liagoraceae
Description: tRNA-Ser
Rfam family: tRNA
About the family: Transfer RNA (tRNA) molecules are approximately 80 nucleotides in length. Their secondary structure includes four short double-helical elements and three loops (D, anti-codon, and T loops).
Source: RNAcentral
GGAAAGAUGGCCGAGAGGUUUAUGGCACAGCAUUGGAAAUGCUGUUUAGUUUUCGUACUAACAAGGGUUCGAAUCCCUUUCUUUCCU